Molecule: RNA transcript, 2065 nt
Organism: Vicia villosa (hairy vetch)
Lineage: Eukaryota; Viridiplantae; Streptophyta; Magnoliopsida; Fabales; Fabaceae
Exons: 5
Source: RefSeq, a predicted model, not a curated record
AUCUUCUUAUUCAGAUCUAGGUUUUUUGUUGCUAUUAAAUGGUGAUGAAGAGGUUUUGGUGUUCUCAUUUUAAUUUUCAACCUUUUUUUUACAGUGGAUUUCAGAGGUGUGAUAUUUCUAUUUUUUGUCAUAUCUUUGACUCUAUCUUUGACUUUCUACUCAGAUCUACGAAAUCAUGACGGUGGCUAUGGCGUUUCCGACGAUAGGUGGUUUGACAGUGGUAGACUAUAGUAGCGGCAACACGUUUUUUUACGGCGGGUGUGGUGGUGGUUGGAUUCCAAAUGAUUUGUGGUUGUUGAUGUUUUAUUGUUAUGGUGUCUCGAAUAUCGCUGGAAAACACAUCGAUUGGUUUUUCACCUUCGACAAGGUUCUGUUGCCGGAGGAGAUGUCAGGCCGUGUUAGAAACCACCCGGAAUUGCAUCAGAUGAUGGAAGUGGUUAUGGAUUUAGGACGGAAACCACUCGCCAUGUUUCCUUUGCCAAAUGAAGUUUUGUUUUUGUUUUUGUUUUCUGGUUUUUUGCAGGUGUUGAAGAUGUUGGUAUAUCGAUGUCGUCAAGCCUGUGUCGGCUAUAACGGUGUUAUACAGUAGUGGAAGGUGAGUAUCUAUAUGAGAUACCUUUUGUCAUACUUUUGAAAAGACGUGUUUCACUCUCUUAUUUAUGGCCUACAUAAUUUCUACUGGUAUCUCAAAUGCUUAAUAUGCAUGAUUCUUAUAAUUUGCUACAAUGCUGACUUAUUAUUACCUCACAUUUCUAGAUUGUAACAUGCAAGCUAACCAAUUUCAGCAAUGCUUGUAUAUAUGUGAGGUAUGACCCUUGAAAUGUGUUGCCUAUUUGGAACUUUUUAGAACUAAGAAGUUAUUGUAUUUAUGCAGCUACUCAUAGAAACAAGAUUUUGUAACAAAUUUACACUGGUUGCAGAAGAAACUUUAUGAUAUUUGAUUUGUGUGCAUGCUAUUUUUGGUUUCAUAUGUGUUUCUAUUUCAAUACAAAGAAUCCGACCUGGGAGUCUGUUACGUAUGGGAUCCUUCUCUGCAUUGAUUGUUCCUCUGUUCAUAGAAGUCUUGGUGUUCACAUCAGUGCGACCGUAGAGAUGUGGCUGCAAUGAUGGAUCUACACAUUCACCUUUUCCUAAUGAAGAUGAUUAGUUUUAUCUUUGUUGCUUCUAAGUUUCAAAUUUAUAGUUAGCAAACUCACUGCAUUUCUUUUUCCAUGAUAUUUUAGGUUAUUAGCCAAGGAACUACAUAUUCGAAAAAGGUGUGUUGAAUGACUUGCUGGAAUGGAAGUUGAAAAUUCAGGGAGCCUAAAUGGAAGCUGGAAAUAGUUGUGCACUAUUUUUGGAAAUACAUAACUAAGUGAGACAUUCAGCUUGGUCUGUAAUCUUGUGACAUAUAUGGAGAACAAUCGAGCAGGAAUCGCUGUUUAUGGAUUCAUGCUUGACAGAACUUGGCUUCACUCCAUUUUCGAUAUUUAAUUGGCUCUGCCUUUGGCUACUUAACAGGACAAUUGGUAUUUAGAGACAAAUGUAACUGCUAUCGAAUCUGUUAGGAAUUCUAUUUUUUCAUAUGCAGAAUUCUGUUAGCAAAUUUGGUGUGGUUUAAUUUUCGUGUCGGUUUGGUUUUUGUUAAGUUGCAGGUCGGUUUAUUAGCCGGGGGUUGGGAUUGAAAUAUGCAGGUAAGACAUUGACGGUUCUAUGUCGAGGUGCACUGUUAGAGAAAGUUUGUGGCUAGGUGGUUUCAUGUGGUUUCAUGUCUGCAAGGCCAUAUAAUUUCAGGAAGGUAGGAACAAAGCUACCUAGAGGAGUAUACGAAUAAUGAAUCCGCUUACGGAAUUCCGGAAUUGCUGCUCAUAUGGUGGAGUUAAAUGUCACCAAAUAAUUUAUGUGAUGGUCACACUAAAUGUUUUUUGGAAUUACGGAAUUUCUGGACAGUUAAAUAUACAAACAACUUAUCGCUUUUAUUGUGAUUAUAGUAUUUUUGCAUUCACCAAUGAUAAUUCUUUAUUAGAAUGUACAGGGCUGAAGCAUUUAACAUAUAUUCAAUUUGACUGCUACCAUAUUGAUCAAA